Molecule: non-coding RNA, 246 nt
Organism: Vicia faba (fava bean)
Lineage: Eukaryota; Viridiplantae; Streptophyta; Magnoliopsida; Fabales; Fabaceae
Source: the annotation of a GenBank genome assembly
AUGAGAGAAACGGCGACGUUUAGUGAAUAUAGGGUUGAAAGAGUGACUCUUGAACUUCUUCGACCUAUCUUCUACUUCUCGGACUCAAUCAUGACGCGAUCUUUCUUUUCUCUUCACCUCCGAUUCCGCUCCGACACCAUGACGCCACCGUCUCUGUCGUCAUCUCAUCAUCCGUCUUUGCUUCGACUAGCAGUGCUUUCGUCUCUUCACUUCACGAACUCAGCUUCCAAGACUCUCUGGCCAUGA